RNAcentral lists this ribosomal RNA (68 nucleotides) under Limosilactobacillus fermentum. Lineage: Bacteria; Bacillati; Bacillota; Bacilli; Lactobacillales; Lactobacillaceae. The record is from RNAcentral.
UGUGGUGAUGAUGGCCUGAAGGAUACACCUGUUCCCAUGCCGAACACAGAAGUUAAGCUUCAGCACGC